GUGUGAGUAAUGCCUAGGAAUCUGCCUAUUAGUGGGGGAUAACGUUCCGAAAGGAACGCUAAUACCGCAUACGUCCUACGGGAGAAAGUGGGGGAUCUUCGGACCUCACGCUAAUAGAUGAGCCUAGGUCGGAUUAGCUAGUUGGUGGGGUAACGGCUCACCAAGGCGACGAUCCGUAGCUGGUCUGAGAGGAUGAUCAGCCACACUGGAACUGAGACACGGUCCAGACUCCUACGGGAGGCAGCAGUGGGGAAUAUUGGACAAUGGGCGAAAGCCUGAUCCAGCCAUGCCGCGUGUGUGAAGAAGGUCUUCGGAUUGUAAAGCACUUUAAGUUGGGAGGAAGGGUUGUAAGCUAAUAUCUUGCAGCUUUGACGUUACCAACAGAGUAAGCACCGGCUAACUCUGUGCCAGCAGCCGCGGUAAUACAGAGGGUGCAAGCGUUAAUCGGAAUUACUGGGCGUAAAGCGCGCGUAGGCGGCUUAGUAAGUUGGAUGUGAAAGCCCCGGGCUCAACCUGGGAACUGCAUCCAAAACUGCUUGGCUAGAGUACAGUAGAGGGUGGUGGAAUUUC
This 570-nucleotide ribosomal RNA is filed under the name uncultured bacterium. RNAcentral describes it as "bacterial SSU rRNA". It matches the Rfam family "Bacterial small subunit ribosomal RNA", at positions 100 to 670 of the family's 1533-position model. The record is from RNAcentral.